AUUGAACGCUGGCGGCAUGCUUUACACAUGCAAGUCGAACGGCAGCGCGGGCUUCGGCCUGACGGCGAGUGGCGAACGGGUGAGUAAUGCAUCGGAACGUGCCCAGUAGUGGGGGAUAGCCCGGCGAAAGCCGGAUUAAUACCGCAUACGACCUGAGGGUGAAAGCGGGGGACCGAAAGGCCUCGCGCUAUUGGAGCGGCCGAUGUCGGAUUAGCUAGUUGGUGGGGUAAAGGCUUACCAAGGCGACGAUCCGUAGCUGGUCUGAGAGGACGACCAGCCACACUGGGACUGAGACACGGCCCAGACUCCUACGGGAGGCAGCAGUGGGGAAUUUUGGACAAUGGGGGCAACCCUGAUCCAGCCAUGCCGCGUGCGGGAAGAAGGCCUUCGGGUUGUAAACCGCUUUUGUUCGGGAAGAAAUCCUCUGGGCUAAUACCCCGGGGGGAUGACGGUACCGGAAGAAUAAGCACCGGCUAACUACGUG
RNAcentral lists this ribosomal RNA (484 nucleotides) under uncultured bacterium. RNAcentral describes it as "partial 16S ribosomal RNA". It matches the Rfam family "Bacterial small subunit ribosomal RNA", at positions 29 to 507 of the family's 1533-position model. The record is from RNAcentral.